Molecule: non-coding RNA, 88 nt
Organism: Mycena galericulata
Lineage: Eukaryota; Fungi; Basidiomycota; Agaricomycetes; Agaricales; Mycenaceae
Source: the annotation of a GenBank genome assembly
UCGGACGUGGUGUAUGGCGCACACCCGCUUUUCGUGGGUCGCAGAUGUCAUGAAGCGGGAGGCCUGGGUUCGAUUCCCAGCGUCCGAA